RNAcentral lists this ribosomal RNA (468 nucleotides) under uncultured bacterium. Its description in RNAcentral is "partial 16S ribosomal RNA". It matches the Rfam family "Bacterial small subunit ribosomal RNA", at positions 28 to 507 of the family's 1533-position model. The record is from RNAcentral.
GACGAACGCUGGCGGCGUGCUUAACACAUGCAAGUCGAACGGAAAGGCCCUGCUUUUGUGGGGUGCUCGAGUGGCGAACGGGUGAGUAACACGUGAGUAACCUGCCCUUGACUUUGGGAUAACUUCAGGAAACUGGGGCUAAUACCGGAUAGGAGCUCCUGCUGCAUGGUGGGGGUUGGAAAGUUUCGGCGGUUGGGGAUGGACUCGCGGCUUAUCAGCUUGUUGGUGGGGUAGUGGCUUACCAAGGCUUUGACGGGUAGCCGGCCUGAGAGGGUGACCGGCCACAUUGGGACUGAGAUACGGCCCAGACUCCUACGGGAGGCAGCAGUGGGGAAUAUUGCACAAUGGGCGGAAGCCUGAUGCAGCAACGCCGCGUGCGGGAUGACGGCCUUCGGGUUGUAGACCGCUUUCGCCUGUGACGAAGCGUGAGUGACGGUAAUGGGUAGAGAAGCACCGGCUAACUACGUG